This 653-nucleotide ribosomal RNA is filed under the name uncultured bacterium. Its description in RNAcentral is "bacterial SSU rRNA". It matches the Rfam family "Bacterial small subunit ribosomal RNA", at positions 94 to 743 of the family's 1533-position model. The record is from RNAcentral.
AGCGGCGGACGGGUGAGUAAUACUUGGGAAGCUGCCCGGUAGAGGGGGAUAACAGUUGGAAACGACUGCUAAUACCGCAUAACCUCUUCGGAGCAAAGCGGGGGACCUUCGGGCCUCGCGCUACCGGAUGCGCCCAAGUGGGAUUAGCUAGUUGGUGGGGUAACGGCUCACCAAGGCGACGAUCCCUAGCUGGUCUGAGAGGAUGAUCAGCCACACUGGAACUGAGACACGGUCCAGACUCCUACGGGAGGCAGCAGUGGGGAAUAUUGCACAAUGGGCGAAAGCCUGAUGCAGCCAUGCCGCGUGUGUGAAGAAGGCCUUCGGGUUGUAAAGCACUUUCAGCGAGGAGGAAAGGGUGAGUCUUAAUACGGCUCAUCUGUGACGUUACUCGCAGAAGAAGCACCGGCUAACUCCGUGCCAGCAGCCGCGGUAAUACGGAGGGUGCGAGCGUUAAUCGGAAUUACUGGGCGUAAAGCGCAUGCAGGCGGCUGAUUAAGCCAGAUGUGAAAGCCCGGGGCUUAACCUCGGAAUUGCAUUUGGAACUGGUCAGCUAGAGUUCUUGAGAGGGUGGUAGAAUUUCAGGUGUAGCGGUGAAAUGCGUAGAGAUCUGAAGGAAUACCGGUGGCGAAGGCGGCCACCUGGCAAGUAACUGA